AACGAACGCUGGCGGCAUGCCUAACACAUGCCAGUCGAACGAGAUCCUUCGGGGUCUAGUGGCGCACGGGUGCGUAACGCGUGGGAAUCUGCCCUUAGGUUCGGAAUAACAGUUAGAAAUGACUGCUAAUACCGGAUGAUGACGUUAAGUCCAAAGAUUUAUCGCCUGAGGAUGAGCCCGCGUAGGAUUAGCUAGUUGGUGUGGUAAAGGCGCACCAAGGCGACGAUCCUUAGCUGGUCUGAGAGGAUGAUCAGCCGCACUGGGACUGAGACACGGCCCAGACUCCUACGGGAGGCAGCAGUGGGGAAUAUUGGACAAUGGGCGCAAGCCUGAUUCAGCAAUGCCGCGUGAGUGAUGAAGGCCUUAGGGUUGUAAAGCUCUUUUACCCGGGAUGAUAAUGACAGUACCGGGAGAAUAAGCCCCGGCUAACUCCGUG
This 436-nucleotide ribosomal RNA is filed under the name uncultured bacterium. Its description in RNAcentral is "partial 16S ribosomal RNA". It matches the Rfam family "Bacterial small subunit ribosomal RNA", at positions 29 to 507 of the family's 1533-position model. The record is from RNAcentral.